This 253-nucleotide ribosomal RNA is filed under the name uncultured bacterium. RNAcentral's name for it is "partial 16S ribosomal RNA". It matches the Rfam family "Bacterial small subunit ribosomal RNA", at positions 524 to 776 of the family's 1533-position model. The record is from RNAcentral.
GACAGAGGCCUCAAGCGUUAGGCGGAAUCACUGGGCUUAAAGCGUGUGUAGGCGGGUCGUUAAGUACCUUGUGAAAUCCCACGGCUUAACCGUGGAACUGCUUGGUAUACUGCUUAUCUUGGGCCAUCUAGGGGCUACUGGAACAAACGGUGGAGCGGUGAAAUGCGUAGAUAUCGUUUGGAACGCCAAUGGUGAAAACAAGUAGCUGGGGAUGUGCCGACGCUGAGACACGAAAGCCAGGGGAGCAAACGGG